Molecule: transfer RNA, 72 nt
Filed under: Botryobasidium botryosum FD-172 SS1
Lineage: Eukaryota; Fungi; Basidiomycota; Agaricomycetes; Cantharellales; Botryobasidiaceae
Description: tRNA-Gln (TTG) (tRNA-Gln-TTG-2-1)
Rfam family: tRNA
About the family: Transfer RNA (tRNA) molecules are approximately 80 nucleotides in length. Their secondary structure includes four short double-helical elements and three loops (D, anti-codon, and T loops).
Source: RNAcentral
GGUUUUAUCGUCUAGUGGUUAGGACGCAGGAUUUUGAUUCCUGAAGCCCCGGUUCGAUCCCGGGUAAGACCU